GGGGAUUUAGCUCAGUGGUAGAGUGCUUGCCUAGCAAACGCAAGGCCCUGGGUUCGAUCCCCAGCUCCA
Rattus norvegicus (Norway rat) is the source of this 69-nucleotide non-coding RNA. The record is from Rfam. NCBI's taxonomy places the organism in Eukaryota, Metazoa, Chordata, Mammalia, Rodentia, Muridae.